RNAcentral lists this ribosomal RNA (279 nucleotides) under uncultured bacterium. Its description in RNAcentral is "partial 16S ribosomal RNA". It matches the Rfam family "Bacterial small subunit ribosomal RNA", at positions 506 to 784 of the family's 1533-position model. The record is from RNAcentral.
UGCCAGCCGCCGCGGUAAUACGGAGGAUCCAAGCGUUAAUCGGAAUUGCUGGGCGUAAAGCGCGCGUAGGCGGUUUGACAAGUUGGGUGUGAAAUCCCCGGGCUUAACCUGGGAACUGCAUUCAAAACUUUUAAACUGGAGUACGGGAGAGGAGAGUAGAAUUCAUGGUGUAGCGGUGAAAUGCGUAGAUAUCAUGAGGAAUACCAAUGGCGAAGGCAACUCUCUGGACCGUAACUGACGCUGAGGUGCGAAAGCGUGGGUAGCAAACGGGAUUAGAUA